AUUGAACGCUGGCGGCAGGCCUAACACAUGCAAGUCGAGCGGAUGAAGGGAGCUUGCUCCUGGAUUCAGCGGCGGACGGGUGAGUAAUGCCUAGGAAUCUGCCUGGUAGUGGGGGAUAACGUCCGGAAACGGGCGCUAAUACCGCAUACGUCCUGAGGGAGAAAGUGGGGGAUCUUCGGACCUCACGCUAUCAGAUGAGCCUAGGUCGGAUUAGCUAGUUGGUGGGGUAAAGGCCUACCAAGGCGACGAUCCGUAACUGGUCUGAGAGGAUGAUCAGUCACACUGGGACUGGGACACGGCACAGAGUGCGAGGGGAGGGAGCGGUGGAGAAGGACGGCCACGAGGCGAAUGAUGGAUACAGCCGUGUCGUGUGUGAGAAGAAGGUCUGGGGAUUGUAAAGGAUUUGGGGGGGGGAGGAGGGGUAUUAAGUGAAUACUGUGCUUUUUUGACGUAAAAAAAAAAAUAAGCACCGGCGAACUUCGUGCCAGCCGCGGCGCUAAUGAUCGACGAGCACUCGCCUGAAC
Molecule: ribosomal RNA, 524 nt
Filed under: uncultured bacterium
Lineage: Bacteria
Description: partial 16S ribosomal RNA
Rfam family: Bacterial small subunit ribosomal RNA
Source: RNAcentral